RNAcentral lists this ribosomal RNA (404 nucleotides) under uncultured bacterium. Its description in RNAcentral is "partial 16S ribosomal RNA". It matches the Rfam family "Bacterial small subunit ribosomal RNA", at positions 338 to 734 of the family's 1533-position model. The record is from RNAcentral.
CCUACGGGUGGCAGCAGUAGGGAAUCUUCCACAAUGGGCGAAAGCCUGAUGGAGCAACGCCGCGUGGGUGAAGAAGGUCUUCGGAUCGUAAAACCCUGUUGUUAGAGAAGAAAGCGCGUGAGAGUAACUGUUCACGUUUCGACGGUAUCUAACCAGAAAGCCACGGCUAACUACGUGCCAGCAGCCGCGGGAAUACGUAGGUGGCAAGCGUUAUCCGGAUUUAUUGGGCGUAAAGGGAACGCAGGCGGUCUUUUAAGUCUGAUGUGAAAGCCCUCGGCUUAACCGGAGUAGUGCAUUGGAAACUGGGAGACUUGAGUGCAGAAGAGGAGAGUAGAACUCCAUGUGUAGCGGUGAAAUGCGUAGAUAUAUGGAGGAACACCAGUGGCGAAGGCGGCUCUCUGGUC